Molecule: non-coding RNA, 495 nt
Organism: Monodelphis domestica (gray short-tailed opossum)
Lineage: Eukaryota; Metazoa; Chordata; Mammalia; Didelphimorphia; Didelphidae
Source: RefSeq, a predicted model, not a curated record
GGUUCUGUUCCUGACUGCUGACUUUUCUAAUCUCUACCUCAGCAGGCUCCUUAGCUGGGUAUGUUUCUACCUGAUCUACAAAGAUCCUGUGCCAGUUAUGGAACGGAAAUUAGACUGACAGUUUGUGGGGGAAGGGGCCAACUGGGAGUGGCAGUUGGGUCUUGUGACUAGCACUUCCUUCCUGCCGGGUGGGACUUGCUUCCGGGUGUUGGAGGAGGAAGGAGCUUGUUCAGCCCAGUCUGGUGUGGUGUGCCGCCUCUUCUUGGUUCAGCCCGAAGAUUCAGGCCCAUUCAUCUCUGAAGGGAAAGGAAACUUAAAGAACACAAGCAAACCACAAAACAAUGUCUUCAAGGAAACCUCCCAUCUCCCCCUCCAGCCUGGCCCCAUCAAUGAUCUUCCUCCUCCUCCUCUAAUCCAAAGUACCUUAUACCUUCUAAAUAAUUAUCAGAGCACCAUUAAAUCAAAAGCUCCUUGAAAGUUGGAGCUUUAAAAAGC